CCUACGGGCGGCAGCAGUGAGGAAUAUUGGUCAAUGGGCGUAAGCCUGAACCAGCCAAGUCGCGUGAGGGAUGACGGACCUAUGGUUUGUAAACCUCUUUUAUAAGGGAAUAAAGUGCCGCACGUGUGGGGUUUUGUAUGUACUUUAUGAAUAAGCAUCGGCUAACUCCGUGCCAGCAGCCGCGGUAAUACGGAAGAUUCGAGCGUUAUCCGGAUUUAUUGGGUUUAAAGGGAGCGUAGGUGGGUUCUUAAGUCAGUCGUGAAAAUCGGCGGCUCAACCGUAACGUUGCAGUGGAAACUGGGGGACUUGAGUAUAGGCGAGGUAGGUGGAAUUCGUGGUGUAGCGGUGAAAUGCUUAGAUAUCACGAAGAACUCCGAUCGCGAAGGCAUUGUACUGGAGCAAGACUGACGCUGAGGCUCGAAAGUGUGGGUAUCAAACAGGAUUAGAUACCCUUGUAGUC
This 460-nucleotide ribosomal RNA is filed under the name uncultured bacterium. Its description in RNAcentral is "partial 16S ribosomal RNA". It matches the Rfam family "Bacterial small subunit ribosomal RNA", at positions 338 to 795 of the family's 1533-position model. The record is from RNAcentral.